RNAcentral lists this ribosomal RNA (445 nucleotides) under uncultured bacterium. RNAcentral describes it as "bacterial SSU rRNA". It matches the Rfam family "Bacterial small subunit ribosomal RNA", at positions 354 to 796 of the family's 1533-position model. The record is from RNAcentral.
GUAAGGAAUAUUGGACAAUGGGGGCAACCCUGAUCCAGCCAUGCCGCGUGAAGGAUUAAGGCCCUAUGGGUCGUAAACUUCUUUUACAGGAGACAAAACCCCUCUACGUGUAGAGGGCUGAUGGUACUCUGAGAAUAAGGGUCGGCUAACUUCGUGCCAGCAGCCGCGGUAAUACGAAGGACCCGAGCGUUAUCCGGAUUUAUUGGGUUUAAAGGGUGCGUAGGCGGACAUGCAAGUCAGUGGUGAAAUCUCCCCGCUCAACGGGGAAACUGCCAUUGAAACUAUGUGUCUUGAGUACAUUUGAGGCGGGCGGAAUGUGUCAUGUAGAGGUGAAAUUCUUAGAUAUGACACAGAACACCAAUUGCGAAGGCAGCUCGCUAAACUGUAACUGACGCUGAGGCACGAAAGUGUGGGUAGCAAACAGGAUUAGAUACCCGGGUAGUCC